AGGAAAGAAGCUGAAUGGGUUAGGGAAAGAGAGAGAGAUAAGUCUGGACUUGGGCCAUUUUUCUUUUUGUUUUUUUAAUUUUGGGCCUUUUAUUUUGGGCUUUUGUUUCCAUUUGUUGUUUUGUAUAAUGCCCUAGCUCCCAUAUCAUAAGACAUACAGAAUUUUGUAGAAGGCGGACAAAUAUAAAUGGCGCAAACCAAAACCUAUAUGCUAUAUCUCUGACUCCAUCCCGUUACACAGCUGGCAGCCUCGACACCAUCGUCGAGCCUUUAACCUUGUGAGUGGAUUGGUAGUGAAUCUUUUGGAGAGCUCUAUUUGGGUAAUUUUGAUUUCUAUUUUUUGAACUACAAAUUGUUUUUUUAGGAGCUCUUUUGGGUUUGAUGUUGUUUGAAAUGAUUUUACUUUAAUUAAUUUCAUGAGCAAAUAUACAAACUGGAGAAGAAGUUGCCGUGAAGUUGGUUAGUAUGAAUGGUAUGUAAUUUUGUGAAUUUAAGUUCUUAUUUGGAAUAAAUAUUUCAAUUGUUCAUUUAUUAGUGGUUAAUCAACACCUCUUUUGUUAUUGUUUACCUUGGGAAUUAGUAUUUGUAUCUACUAAGCUAGUUUAUUUGUCAAAUUUUAGCUACUAAUGAGACCUGCUACCAAAUCUCUUUAGUUCAAGCAAUGGAUAUUUCUUUGACAUCAAUGUGUGCAUUGAUUUAUUUCAAGCUUCACUUUGUGCACCUUUUCUGCAAUUAGUAGUAUCAUUUUCUUUUGAAACAAUAUAAUUUAUUUUGUUUCACGAAUCUGUUAAAACCAAGCAUCCUCAACCUUCAACCUUGUGAGUGACUGGAUUUUUCAUUUGCAAAAUGAUUUAUGAAUUAUGAAUUAUGACUAUGAGCCUGCUGUUUCUACCGAGGUUUAUGAUUUAUGAAAAUUGGGAAAUUAGUGAAUGUGUGAUAUACGUGGACUAUGAUUUGUGAUAAAUGAUAAAUUGGGGAAUUUGUG
RNAcentral lists this long non-coding RNA (984 nucleotides) under Olea europaea subsp. europaea. The record is from RNAcentral. Lineage: Eukaryota; Viridiplantae; Streptophyta; Magnoliopsida; Lamiales; Oleaceae.